UCUCUACCAGUUCACCCGAAAUUACCAGGCAUGAUCAGAGAGAGAGAGAGAGAGAGAGAGAGGAACAGAGAUUAGAGAUGUAGAGAGAGAGAGAGAGAGAGGAUGGUUGUUCUGUGAGAGUGGGGGAGAAGAAGGGGGAGGACUGGCCAAUCUGGGGAUUUCCCGGCGGCGAUGGUCCGCCGGAGACCGGCCGCGGCAGGGUUCCCGAGGCGGCGCCCCCUCCCUACUUCCGAGGUAGCCAAAGCCGGUUUAAAGCGACGGGAAAAGGAAGCAAAUCUCUGCGAAUAACAAUAAGAAUACCAAAGACCGUCGCCUCCGAAGCCUCGACCUCUCUCUC
RNAcentral lists this long non-coding RNA (337 nucleotides) under Spirodela polyrhiza (greater duckweed). Its description in RNAcentral is "long non-coding RNA (SPOL_LNC000878)". Lineage: Eukaryota; Viridiplantae; Streptophyta; Magnoliopsida; Alismatales; Araceae. The record is from RNAcentral.